GAUGAACGCUGGCGGCGUGCCUAAUACAUGCAAGUCGAGCGAACAGACGAGGAGCUUGCUCCUUUGACGUUAGCGGCGGACGGGUGAGUAACACGUGGGUAACCUACCUAUAAGACUGGGAUAACUUCGGGAAACCGGAGCUAAUACCGGAUAAUAUUUCGAACCGCAUGGUUCGAUAGUGAAAGAUGGCUUUGCUAUCACUUAUAGAUGGACCUGCGCCGUAUUAGCUAGUUGGUAAGGUAACGGCUUGCCAAGGCAACGAUACGUAGCCGACCUGAGAGGGUGAUCGGCCACACUGGAACUGAGACACGGUCCAGACUCCUACGGGAGGCAGCAGUAGGGAAUCUUCCGCAAUGGGCGAAAGCCUGACGGAGCAACGCCGCGUGAGUGAUGAAGGUCUUCGGAUCGUAAAACUCUGUUAUUAGGGAAGAACAAACGUGUAAGUAACUGUGCACGUCUUGACGGUACCUAAUCAGAAAGCCACGGCUAACUACGUG
RNAcentral lists this ribosomal RNA (497 nucleotides) under uncultured bacterium. Its description in RNAcentral is "partial 16S ribosomal RNA". It matches the Rfam family "Bacterial small subunit ribosomal RNA", at positions 28 to 507 of the family's 1533-position model. The record is from RNAcentral.